CCUACGGGAGGCAGCAGUGGGGGAUAUUGCACAAUGGGGGGAACCCUGAUGCAGCGACGCCGCGUGGGUGAAGGAGCGUUUCGGCGCGUAAAGCCCUAUCGGCAGGGAAGAAGGAGGACGGUACCUGACUAAGAGGCCCCGGCUAACUACGUGCCAGCAGCCGCGGUAAUACGGAGGGGGCAAGCGUUAUCCGGAUUUACUGGGUGUAAAGGGGGCGCAGACGGCAGGGCAAGCGAGGAGUGAAAGCCCGGGGCCCAACCCCGGGACUGCUCUUGGUACUGAGCGGCGGGAGUGCGGGAGGGGCAGGCAGAAUUCCUGGUGUAGCGGUGAAAUGCGUAGAGAUCAGGAGGAACACCGGUGGCGAAGGCGGCCUGCUGGACUGCGACUGACGUUGAGGCGCGAAAGCGUGGGGAGCAAACAGGAUUAGAUACCCGAGUAGUC
This 441-nucleotide ribosomal RNA is filed under the name uncultured bacterium. Its description in RNAcentral is "partial 16S ribosomal RNA". It matches the Rfam family "Bacterial small subunit ribosomal RNA", at positions 338 to 795 of the family's 1533-position model. The record is from RNAcentral.